Molecule: non-coding RNA, 349 nt
Organism: Podarcis muralis (Common wall lizard)
Lineage: Eukaryota; Metazoa; Chordata; Lepidosauria; Squamata; Lacertidae
Source: RefSeq, a predicted model, not a curated record
GGAUAAGUUGGUCAGGAUCAGGUCCAGAGACCUCCCUCAUGAAUGGAGAUGGUCAGUCUAUUAAACCAAGUUAGGAAUGAAGACCAAGCUCUUCCACAGAACACUUGGCUAAUUUCAGCAGUUUGCUGCCCUCUACUGGAAAAGGGUGGUCCUCCAAACAAAUAUCUAAGCAGGAAAUUGACAGCAAGGACAACUGCAACUAUGGUGGCAAUAUGCAGACUCAAUCGCUGUAGAAUGGAAUGGACCUUAUUGAGAAAAACAAGCAUGACAGCUGCCUGGCUUCAACUCCGCAGAACAGGAAUAUAGUUGGCAUCUGGCAAAACAAUGAAAAUGACAACACUGAAAGAGC